This 1563-nucleotide small RNA is filed under the name Pongo abelii (Sumatran orangutan). RNAcentral's name for it is "retained intron". The record is from RNAcentral. Lineage: Eukaryota; Metazoa; Chordata; Mammalia; Primates; Hominidae.
CUCUUCGCUACUCCGUAGUGACGGAGAUUGUUGUGUUGCAAAAAUCCGGCCGUCGACCUGAGGACUUGCGUGCAGCUCAGCUCCCGGGACGUUUGGAGCUGCUGCUAAAUAAUUUCUGCUCAGCCAUGUCGCCGGCUCCAGAUGCAGCCCCGGCUCCUGCGUCGAUCUCCCUGUUUGACCUCAGCGCGGAUGCUCCGGUCCUUCAGGGCCUGAGCCUGAGGGAACAUUAUAAGCUUGACUGGCAUCGGUUUAACCUAAAGCAACGUCUCAAGGACAAGCCUCUCCUGUCUGCCCUGGACUUUGAAAAGCAGAGCUCCACAGGAGAUCUUUCCAGCAUCUCAGGAUCAGAAGACUCAGACUCAGCCAGUGAGGAGGACUUGCAGACACUGGAUCGGGAGAGGGCUACAUUUGAGAAGUUUAGCCGACCCCAAGGCUUUUACCCUCAUCGAGUUCUUUUCCAGAAUGCCCAGGGCCAGUUUCUUUAUGCCUACCGCUGUGUCCUAGGCCCUCAUCAGGAUCCCCCAGAAGAGGCAAAACUGCUGCUACAGAAUCUGCAAAGCAGAGGUCCCAGAGACUGCGUGGUGCUCAUGGCUGCAGCUGGGCACUUUGCUGGUGCUAUAUUUCAAGGAAGAGAAGUGGUGACACACAAAACUUUUCACCGCUAUACGGUGCGAGCCAAGCGGGGCACAGCCCAGGGGCUUCGGGAUGCCCGAGGUGGGCCAUCACGCUCUGCUGGAGCCAACCUGAGGCGCUACAAUGAAGCCACACUAUAUAAGGAUGUUCGUGACCUGCUGGCAGGGCCAAGCUGGGCUAAGGCGCUGGAGGAGGCUGGUACAAUACUGUUGCGUGCUCCCCGCUCUGGCCGGUCGUUGUUCUUUGGAGGCAAGGGGGCACCCCUGCAAAGGGGGGAUCCCCGACUUUGGGAUAUCCCCCUCGCCACCCGCAGACCCACCUUCCAAGAGCUACAGCGUGUGCUCCAUAAGCUGACCACUUUGCAUGUCUAUGAAGAAGACCCUCGGGAAGCAGUCAGACUGCACUCACCUCAGACACACUGGAAAACAAUAAGAGAGGAGAGAAAGAAGCCUACUGAGGAAGAAAUAAGAAAGAUCUGCAGUGAUGAAAAGGAAGCACUUGGGCAGAAUGAGGAAUCUCCCAAACAGGGUUUGAUUACUAUCUGGCAACUGUCAGAUCUGAGUUUCUGUCCUAAAAAUGCACUGGCAAAUUCCCUACUCUCAUAACUGACCCAUUUCCUUAUUUAAACACACACCCACAGUAUCUGUAUCUUAGCAAUUACUGAGACAUGUUUAGUGACCUUUCCAAAUCUAUUACCUCUUUUGUUAUGGAUGUUACCCCAGAGCUAAGAAAAUCUUUGUGUGGAGCAGAUGCGUGGACGUGUUGCAUGGAUCUCACAUAGUUUAUCUUUGAUUGGAAGCUGUGGUUUGAGGCUGAGGGCUGCUUCCAUGCUUUCCUCUAUUGUGCAGCCUCCUAAGGCUGCUCAUAAGUCCAGGGACUUGUUCUUGUCUGGGCUGAGAGCCUCAUUUCUGCAUGUGAUAUAAUGGACUC